UACGUAGGGUGCGAGCGUUAAUCGGAAUUACUGGGCGUAAAGCGUGCGCAGGCGGUUUUGUAAGCCAGAUGUGAAAUCCCCGGGCUUAACCUGGGAAUGGCAUUUGGGACUGCAAGGCUUGAGUGCGGCAGAGGAGACUGGAAUUCCUGGUGUAGCAGUGAAAUGCGUAGAUAUCAGGAGGAAUACCGGUGGCGAAAGCGACUCUCUGGACGGCAACUGACGCUGAGGCACGAAAGCGUGGGGAGCAAACAGG
This 253-nucleotide ribosomal RNA is filed under the name uncultured bacterium. Its description in RNAcentral is "partial 16S ribosomal RNA". It matches the Rfam family "Bacterial small subunit ribosomal RNA", at positions 524 to 776 of the family's 1533-position model. The record is from RNAcentral.